This 119-nucleotide ribosomal RNA is filed under the name Pteropus alecto (black flying fox). Lineage: Eukaryota; Metazoa; Chordata; Mammalia; Chiroptera; Pteropodidae. The record is from RNAcentral.
GUCUAUGGCCAUGCCACUCUGAACAAGCCCAAUCCCGUCUGAUCUCGGAAGCUAAGCAGGGUCGGGCCUGGUUAGUACUUGGAUGGGAGACUACCUAGGAAGACCAGGUGCUGUAGGCG